Molecule: long non-coding RNA, 2480 nt
Filed under: Micromonas commoda
Lineage: Eukaryota; Viridiplantae; Chlorophyta; Mamiellophyceae; Mamiellales; Mamiellaceae
Description: long non-coding RNA (MCOM_LNC000159)
Source: RNAcentral
UCGGGGAGGUUCAUCAGCAUGAGGCUCGGCGCGGGAGCUCGCGCAGCGAAUCGGCACAGGUCCUCCGCGCCCCUGAGAUCUCCGUCGGCUCUUCUCAGCGCGGCGGCGCCGCGAAUCACUCGCAACAGCGCGAUGUAGUGGUCCAGGUGAUUCAUCUCGUCCUCGUCGUCGUUCCCGCCGGCGUUCGCGCCGCCCGCGUUUUCGUCGUCGCUGUCCUCCAUAAAGUCCCAGUCGUUGCCCCGAAGCGCCUUCUCGUAAGCCAUGCAAAUGUCGGUGAGGGUGGCAUCGGGUCUUCCAGCCUCGAGGUCAGCCGCGGCGAGGGCGGGGUCGAAAACGAAGGGAGGAAGGAGCGCGGGACCGAUCGCGUCGUUCACGCGCGCGGCGUUGACUUCGGCAAAGGUCGAAAGACCCUCGGCCGCGACCUGCGCAGAGUGGGCAAAAUCGGUGACGAAAUCGUCAGGAAAAAUAGACGGCGGCGGGCGGGCGAGCAAAGGCGCGACGAGCUCGACGCCGCGCGCGCGGAGAAUGUAGCCCCCAGGCACAAUGACAGAAGACAUCUCAGGUUCAACAACUUGCCAGUGUUUUAAGGGGGAAGGCUCCGCAGUGUUUCGCGGAGGUGUCCUAAAAAUAUCCAACGUUCGUCUCGCGCCUUGAAAAAACCAAGCUACGCACUGACAACAGCGCAACUCGGGGGUAAGGGCGCAGAAUAAAGUCGGGCGGGCAAACGAACCCAAACGAUCGCGAAAGCAAAAGAGAAAAGAGAAAGAGUCGCGGAGAUGCGCGGUCGAACGCACCUUGAGUUCAAACUCUUUGUCGAACCCCGCGAGACCGAGCGCUGCGUCGAAGAGAACCCGGUCGUUGCAGCCGUACUUGCCAACCACGUUUCGUCUCGACUUCUUCUUCGUCUCGCCGCCGUUCGCGCCGGUCGCUUCCGAUCCCACGUCCUCGGGAACUUCCUUCGCGAGCUGAAACAUCAGCCUCCACCGCGUGUCGCCGCACAGCUGUGCCGCGUCGUGGCACGCCGUGCGGGCUCUGUCCCUACUCGGCCUUCGCUCCUUGGGCGUCGCUCGGCGAAACUUGUGCCGAAUCAGGACGACUUUCGCCGCGCACGCGUGCGUCGCCUCGGUGACGCACUUCGCCACCUCUUCAUCCGAUGCCGGGUCGGUGGCUAAACGGACGCGAGACGUGGUGUGCGUCGCGAUGCGCUCCAUCAACGCGCUGAGCUCCUCGAUCGUCUCCGGCGUCUUCGAGUCAUCCGGCGUUUUCGUCUUGUCGCACCAUCGCUCCGUCGUCGCCCACGCCGCGUCGACGCACUUCUCCAGUCGCGCCUCCUUGCCCUUCUCCCAGUUGAGCACCUCGGUCUUAUCGCCGCGGUACUGCGUCGGGAUCUCGAUCUUAGCCUUGAGCAAACGCCGCGUUGUCUCCUCGACGAGCUCGGCCAUCGACAUGUUGCCGAAGUCUUCCCUGUACGGCUUUUUGCGCUCGUGAUACUCGAAAUCGUCCGGACCCCCGGGUUCCCCAACGCCCGGGAAGUCUUCCGCGCGCGGGCGGAAGCACAUCUCCACCGUGAGCGUUCGCAGGACGUCGCAGUGCGCCUUUAGGGUAUCGCGAACGGCGCCGGGCGGCAUGUUCUCGACGGCGUCGUCGAAUGCCUUCGCGACGCGAGCCUCGUCCCACGCGAAAUCGUCGCCCGUGUUUGGGGACUCCGCCGCCUCGCGGAGGUGCUGGGCGAUGCGCUUGACGAAGCGAUGGGAUUCCUCGUCGGGCGCGGCGGGGCGCUUCUUGUUUGCGGGGCGCGCCGGGACGGACUUCGGGUUUUCUUUGGGCGGCAUGACGAGGGCGGUGGGCGGUGAGCUCACGAGUGCGCCGUCGUCGGUGGCGUUGUCGUUGUCGGCUCCGAUGGGAAGGCUCAGUUCUUGCGUCCGCUGAUCCUGCCGGAGCGCUUGGAUUUCUUGAGGUUCUUGGCCUGGACGUGCGAGUGACGCGGGGGUGGACGUUCGGUCAGCGUGCGUUCGUCGCGCGAGGCGCGUCGCGUCGGCGCGCCUUAGGUUUAGGAAAGAAAUCCGGCGGCGGGCGCUCGAGGAAAUAAUAAAAUCGGCGCGGGAGGGUGUCGCCAACUGCGCGGCGGCUCGUACCUUCUCGAGGAACUUCUUGUGAUCGGGGUUGGCGGGGUUUCGCUCUCCGCGUCCUCCCUUCCUGUUCGCCAGCUUCUGAGCGAUCUUCUUCUUCUUACCCAGCGCCUGCUUCUUGGCAGCGGACUUCUCCUUGUCAAUCUUCUUGCUCGCCUGCUUGAGAUUCAGCAGCGACCACGACGGCUUGUUCUGCGGGAUGUAGUACUUCUGCUUGUGGCAGUCGUAGUUCUUCAGCUUGCCCAUGCUAGGUCGGAACAGGUGCCGGAUAAAGCCUGCGCGUCGCACCCGGAUGGGAAGGACACGGAGGGCGCCGGCGGUGUCGUGAGCAGUGUCGCCCGCGACGAGGGG